This is a small nucleolar RNA of Tupaia belangeri (northern tree shrew), 78 nucleotides long. Its record names the gene SNORD116. It matches the Rfam family "Small nucleolar RNA SNORD116". From Rfam's summary of the family: HBII-85 is a member of the C/D class of snoRNAs, which contain the C (UGAUGA) and D (CUGA) box motifs. The record is from Ensembl. Lineage: Eukaryota; Metazoa; Chordata; Mammalia; Scandentia; Tupaiidae.
GGAUCGAUGAUGACUUAAAAAAAAUAAAGAAACCUUGGAAAUCUGAACAAAAUGAGUGACUACCCUGAGCUGAGGUCC